GUGAAUGUAGCUCAGUUGGUUAGAGCGCCGGUCUGUGGAACCGGAGGCCGGGGGUUCAAGUCCCCUCAUUCACCCCA
RNAcentral lists this transfer RNA (77 nucleotides) under bacterium. RNAcentral describes it as "tRNA-His". It matches the Rfam family "tRNA". Rfam says of the family: Transfer RNA (tRNA) molecules are approximately 80 nucleotides in length. Their secondary structure includes four short double-helical elements and three loops (D, anti-codon, and T loops). The record is from RNAcentral.